AGGUGGUGCGGAACAAGCGGAUUA
Molecule: non-coding RNA, 24 nt
Filed under: Arabidopsis thaliana (thale cress)
Lineage: Eukaryota; Viridiplantae; Streptophyta; Magnoliopsida; Brassicales; Brassicaceae
Source: RNAcentral